AUGAGCUCCUCGAUCUCGUCCUGGAGCUGGAUGCAUUCCUCUGUGUCGUGGCCGUGGUCGCGGUGGUAGAGGCAAAAUUUGUUGGGGUUGCACUUCCCGGGGUGCGUGCGCAUCCUCUCCGGCCUAGGGAGCUGUUCCCUGACCUCCAUCAAUACCUGGGCCUUCGAGGCAUUGAGGGGGGCGUAGUUGCGGAAUCUCCCUGGUGGGGAACCCCGCCGAACCCCGCGAUCCGGGCUUCUCUGCCUG
This 246-nucleotide long non-coding RNA is filed under the name Elaeis guineensis (African oil palm). Its description in RNAcentral is "long non-coding RNA (EGUI_LNC074853)". Lineage: Eukaryota; Viridiplantae; Streptophyta; Magnoliopsida; Arecales; Arecaceae. The record is from RNAcentral.